RNAcentral lists this ribosomal RNA (404 nucleotides) under Orbiliaceae sp. RNAcentral's name for it is "partial large subunit ribosomal RNA". It matches the Rfam family "Eukaryotic large subunit ribosomal RNA", at positions 357 to 781 of the family's 3401-position model. Lineage: Eukaryota; Fungi; Ascomycota; Orbiliomycetes; Orbiliales; Orbiliaceae. The record is from RNAcentral.
UCGAANGAUGAAAAGCNCUUUGAAAAGANAGUUAANCAGNACGUGAAAUUGUUGAAAGGNAAGCGCUUGCNACCAGACUCGCCUUUGAUCNAUCAACGUUCCUUCUGGUUCGUGCACUCGGNCUUCGGCGGGCCAGCAUCGGUUUGGGCGGAGGGACAAAGACUUUGGGAACGUGGCUGCCCUCGGGCAGNGUUAUANCCCUUUGUGUANUGCCUCCUGUCCGGACCGAGGACCGCGCUUCGGCUAGGAUGCUGGCGUAAUGGUCGUAAGCGACCCGUCUUGAAACACGGACCAAGGAGUCUAACAUCUAUGCNAGUGUUUGGGUGUCAAACCCAUACGCGUAAUGAAAGUGAACGGAGGUGGGAGCCCGCAAGGGUGCACCAUCGACCGAUCCUGAUGUCUUC